UUCAAGCUAACGUAGCUCGUAACGACAGCUAACACCUAACUAGCAUUACCGGAACAACGUUACAUUUACCGUAUCGUUAGAGCCAACAACGCGAUGUAUGGAUGCUGUCUCUAUUAGCUAACGACUCGUUUCAUUAAAAGGUGAAGAUGUUGGAUAGUGGUCGGGUUCGGAGGGGGCUGCUGGGGAGCUCCUCUCCUCUCCCCACUUCCCCCGGGUCCCUGAAGGAGGCGCUGUGAAUGAUCUGGGCUCGGUGGCGUCCUCUGUGCAGCCGGGCGUUCAGCCGGCUCAGGGACGACUUCCUCUGGAUUCCCCCCUUGGUCCUUCCAGUCGCGAACGCUUCCUCUGCUGCCUCGGCAGGCGGGUUCAGGAGCCUCAGCGGGUUCAGAUUGCCCGUGAGGACUCUGGGAAACCGCCAUCCGCGCCCUCCACCACUGCUGCUGUUAGUGUUUUCGCUGUCUGACUCAGCUCCCGGUGAGAGGACCACCCCCUCCUCCUGCAGGUCAGCGGCCAGUGGUGGGGACAGGUACUGGAUGGCUCGCCUACCGCUGUAAUCCCGCGCCUCAGGGUCUGCCUCCCAGUCUGACAGCAACACCCGAACCACCUGUCAAUCACAGCACAUUGAAAACACACUGUACAGGAAAUCUGGUUACCUGUCAUUUAGGCAGAAUUUACUGGUGACUUAUUGGAUCAGGAUUUCUCUUAUUGUCUAUUAAAACUCCAUUUACAUUUCUAGAAAA
Dicentrarchus labrax (European seabass) is the source of this 737-nucleotide long non-coding RNA. RefSeq lists it as uncharacterized. The record is from RefSeq and is a predicted model, not a curated record. Lineage: Eukaryota; Metazoa; Chordata; Actinopteri; Moronidae. The transcript is spliced from 2 exons.